CGAUUUAGCCAUGCUAGUUGCGCGAGUUCAGACUCGCAGCAGAUAGCUCAGUAACACGUGGUCAAGCUACCCUGCAGACACGGACAACCUCGGGAAACUGAGGCUAAUCCGCGAUACCGAUCCCACGCUGGAAUGCCGGGAUCCACAAACGCUCCGGCGCUGCAGGAUGCGGCUGCGGCCGAUUAGGUAGACGGUGGGGUAACGGCCCACCGUGCCGAUAAUCGGUACGGGUUGUGAGAGCAAGAGCCCGGAGACGGAAUCUGAGACAAGAUUCCGGGCCCUACGGGGUGCAGCAGGCGCGAAACCUUUACACUGCACGCAAGUGCGAUAAGGGGACUCCGAGUGCGAGGGCAUAUAGUCCUCGCUUUUGAGAACCGUAAGGUGGUUCUCGAAUAAGAGCUGGGCAAGACCGGUGCCAGCCGCCGCGGUAAUACCGGCAGCUCAAGUGAUGGCCAAUCUUAUUGGGCCUAAAGCGUCCGUAGCUGGCCGUGAAAGUUCGUCGGGAAAUCCAUCCGCUCAACGGAUGGGCGUCCGGCGAAAACUUCACGGCUUGGGACCGGAAGGCUCGAGGGGUACGUCCGGGGUAGGAGUGAAAUCCUGUAAUCCUGGACGGACCGCCGAUGGCGAAAGCACCUCGAGAAGACGGAUCCGACAGUGAGGGACGAAAGCUAGGGUCUCGAACCGGAUUAGAUACCCGGGUAGUCCUAGCCGUAAACGAUGUUCACUAGGUGUGGCACAGGCUACGAGCCUGUGCUGUGCCGUAGGGAAGCCGAGAAGUGAACCGCCUGGGAAGUACGUCCGCAAGGAUGAAACUUAAAGGAAUUGGCGGGGGAGCACUACAACCGGAGGAGCCUGCGGUUUAAUUGGACUCAACGCCGGACAUCUCACCAGCUCCGACUACAGUAAUGACGGUCAGGUUGAUGACCUUACCACGAGCUGUAGAGAGGAGGUGCAUGGUCGCCGUCAGCUCGUACCGUGAGGCGUCCUGUUAAGUCAGGCAACGAGCGAGACCCACGCACCUAAUUGCCAGCAGCAGUUCCGACUGGC
This 1047-nucleotide ribosomal RNA is filed under the name Halogeometricum sp. enrichment culture clone SVC_F03. Its description in RNAcentral is "bacterial SSU rRNA". It matches the Rfam family "Archaeal small subunit ribosomal RNA", at positions 41 to 1087 of the family's 1478-position model. The record is from RNAcentral. Lineage: Archaea; Methanobacteriati; Methanobacteriota; Halobacteria; Halobacteriales; Haloferacaceae.